RNAcentral lists this ribosomal RNA (482 nucleotides) under uncultured bacterium. Its description in RNAcentral is "partial 16S ribosomal RNA". It matches the Rfam family "Bacterial small subunit ribosomal RNA", at positions 30 to 507 of the family's 1533-position model. The record is from RNAcentral.
AUUGAACGCUGGCGGCAUGCUUUACACAUGCAAGUCGAACGGUAACAGGCCGCAAGGUGCUGACGAGUGGCGAACGGGUGAGUAAUGCAUCGGAACGUGCCCAGUCGUUGGGGAUAACUACUCGAAAGAGUAGCUAAUACCGCAUACGAUCUAUGGAUGAAAGCGGGGGACCGUAAGGACUCGCGCGGUUGGAGCGGCCCAUGUGAGAUUAGUUAGUUGGUGGUGUAAAGGUUCACCAAGCCAAAGAUUUGUAACUGGUCUGAGAGGACGACCAGCCACACUGGAACUGAGACACGGCCCAGACUCCUACGGGAGGCAGCAGUGGGGAAUUUUGGACAAAGGGCGCAAGCCUGAUCCAGCAAUGCCGCGUGCAGGAAGAAGGCCUUCGGGUUGUAAACUGCUUUUGUACGGAACGAAACGGCUCUGGUUAAUACCCGGGGCUAAUGACGGUACCGUAAGAAUAAGCACCGGCUAACUACGUG